Molecule: ribosomal RNA, 576 nt
Filed under: uncultured Streptomyces sp.
Lineage: Bacteria; Bacillati; Actinomycetota; Actinomycetes; Kitasatosporales; Streptomycetaceae
Description: partial 16S ribosomal RNA
Source: RNAcentral
CCANAGAUCCGCCUUUCSCCACCGGUGUUCCUCCUGKAACRSGGCAUUUCAGCGCUACACCAGGAAUUCCGAUCUCCCCUACCGAACUCUAGCCUGCCCGUAUCGAAUGCAGACCCGGGGUUAAGCCCCGGGCUUUCACAUCCGACGUGACAAGCCGCCUACGAGCUCUUUACGCCCAAUAAUUCCGGACAACGCUCGCACCCUACGUAUUACCGCGGCUGCUGGCACGUAGUUAGCCGGUACUUCUUCUGCAGGUACCGUCACUUUCGCUUCUUCCCUGCUGAAAGAGGUUUACAACCCGAAGGCCGUCAUCCCUCACGCGGCGUCGCUGCAUCAGGCUUUCGCCCAUUGUGCAAUAUUCCCCACUGCUGCCUCCCGUAGGAGUCUGGGCCGUGUCUCAGUCCCGGUGUGGCCGGUCGCCCUCUCAGGCCGGCUACCCGUCGUCGCCUUGGUAGGCCAUCACCCCACCAACAAGCUGAUAGGCCGCGGGCUCAUCCUGCACCGCCGGAGCUUUCCACCACCAGACCAUGCGGUCGGUAGUCGUAUCCGGUAUUAGACCCCGUUUCCAGGGCUUGU